This 5059-nucleotide long non-coding RNA is filed under the name Taeniopygia guttata (zebra finch). Its description in RNAcentral is "lncRNA (ENSTGUG00000029406.1)". Lineage: Eukaryota; Metazoa; Chordata; Aves; Passeriformes; Estrildidae. The record is from RNAcentral.
GAAAAAACAAGAAGAGGUAGACACAUCUAGUUUAGCCCAUGUGAUAAAAACAGAUUUGGUUAUUUAGCUGUUUGUGGAGCACCUCCUUCUGAAAUUAUUUGAGCCCUUAUAGCUGUUAGGGUGCUAAUCAUCAAAAAGCAUCCUUAAAGAAAGGCACUUGUUCAAACUUGUGCAAGCAGCAUGUACCAGGGUAUAGAGUUAACUCCUGGUCACCUGCACCAAGCAGCUCCCAUGUGAUUAGACUUGUCUUCUGCUCUGUGAUAGUGUCAUUUAGGUGAACAGAUCAUUCCCACUUCCCUAGGAUCUGAACAGAGAAAUUAAGACCGCACAAUACAGCAGAACAAUUGCCAGUAGUCCCUAGUAUUAAGUAGCCUAGAAUCUGGUCCUUUUAGUAAGGCUGAAAAUAUGAUACUCCUUCAGUAAAUUUCUCUGCUGCAGAAGAACACAUGAAAUCUAAAAUUAUGAAAAGCCUCCAGCAGAAACAAAGUAAAAAAGAAUCAUCUGUUCCCUCCCCCAAAUUUCAAAGUAUCUCAUAAACACCACACAUCUCUGCUCUUUGUUAUCUGUGUUGUUUGGGCUAACAGGAAAGGGACAGGAAUCAGCUAAUCUGUCGAAUCCAGCCUUCUAAGACAAUGGAAAGCAGUGCCUUUAAAAACUUCCUUUGGGGUAGGGCUCUCUUUCUGUUGCUGGAAUGAAAGACCUUUGGACAUACAUCUGGUACUGAGCCUGAUCAAAAUGCACUGUUUAGAGAAAAACGUCAGCUGAAGUGGAGCGACCUGAAUGGUGAACUAAUUUUAUUGUUUGUGUCAAGAUAAGGAGGAAGAAACAGUGGCAAAAGCAGGUUAACUAAUUUUUUUUCUCUGAGUCCCCUCUGGCCCGUGGCUUUGGUUACAAAGCUUUACAUUUAAUGAGUAGCAGUUACAGAACAGAACGUAGCAACUAAUGAACAAGCUAUAAACUUUUGAUGGUGAUUUUCAAGGUAGGGUUUGUUGGUUUUGUGUUUUUUUUACCUAAAAUAAACAUACUUUUAUAAAAUAUGGGGCGACAUUUGCUGCUGCUGAAAUUAGCAGCAACAGCAGUCCCUCAAAUACCAGCUUGCCAGCUUGUGGCCAGUUAGUUUUAAAUCUUGACUGAUGCUGAAUCAGUGCUCAUUUAGAGACAGGGCGCUUUAUAUAAUUCAGAACAUUUUCUGUUAAACUUCUACAUACACAGAAAGUGGCCCAUGACAGAAAUGCAGUUAGAAAGUCUUUUGCAGCUCCUGGACAAAACCCAUCAAAGAUUCGGAAGAAAAACCGCCCAUGAACCCUGUGAAACUGCAACUGCCGCAGCUUAAGUAAAUGAGAACAAACCCCAAAAUUAUCUUGGCCCUUUUGGACCCUUAUGCAUCAUUUUAUUAUGAUAAGGGCAACACUGUCAAAGAAAAAAAAUGUUUCUGAAAUAUCUGGGUUUUAAUAACUGUGGACAGAUUUUUAAGAGCACAUCAAUGAAAAAAUAUUUAUACAUUGUUUUUAAGGUAAGGUUUAUUUGAUAGAAAAUAAGGAUAAGAAAGCACAGUUUAGCUAACACAGGCUUCUGAUAAAAUUAGUGCAUUAGCAGCUCUCUAAUAAAAAAGUUUAUUAAGUCAGGGCUUGAAGGGUUUUAGACACCCCCUAAAGCUCUGUGGCUGGUCAGACAUUACCACUUAGACCAAAAAAUUUCCCAUCAAACAAGAAUUCUAAUUCUUUGGAAUGGAUAUUCAAAGUUUUAUUUUUAAUUCUAUCUUCCAACAGCCAAGAAAUUAUAAAUAAAUUCCAAAAUAAUGUUUUAAGUCUUGGAGGAUACUUCAGAUUUGACAAAGCCAGUACCUUACAUGAGAAAUACUUUGAAAGAUUAUUAUGGACCAACUCCACAUAACCCAACUCACUCGCAGCAAAUUGCCAAGUAGCCUUCACAUCAUGUGCUGCAAAAUUUGAGUAUUUGACAUGGCUACUAAUGAAAAGGAAAUGAGCACAACUUAACCUGAGAGAACAGAAACCAAUUCAUCUGCUUUCUAAACCCUUGCUCUUGGCAACCAUUUGGUUUUCUACUGACUCCUUCCCUUGCCCCACUUUUACAUGCUUUUGUUCUCCAGUUUAAGUUUUGCUCAUCCAUGCACCCCUGAAGGCAUUUGCUGUUACAUUUUUGGUUCAAAUAAGUUUACAGGUUUGAUCCCUAAACUUCUGAAUCACUCAGACUAACAUUUUAAAAAAUUGAACUCAAGUGCUAUGUUCUGCAAGGACAUAAGCAAUUGAUAAGAAGCUGAUCUGAGCCCAUACUGUAAUGGAGAAAUAACAUAAUCACUGCAUGCACAUUCAUACAAAAAUAUUUACCUUAUUAGUAUUUCAAAACAUCCCUGCAAACAUCAAAAGAUCUGUGUCUUACAUAGACUCUCAUUUUCCUUAAAAUCCAAGUACGCUUCUUGCCUUGGGACAGAAGAGGUUUGGAAAAAAGACACAAAGGAUUUCCCUAUUUGCUGUUAGUUUCUUUCCUCUAUCUCCCUUCUCCAGUACCAAUGGCACCAUUUCCCAUCCCUUUAAUUGCAUCAUCUCCAUACCAUCUCCAGGCAUGGCUGAGCAGCACAUGAGCAGGAGCUUCUACAACUCGAGGACCUAACCCCAGUGCAGCCUGUCCCUGCCCCUGUCCCUCUCUCCCCUGCACACAGGUGGGAGCCCCAAUCAACUAAUUCUUUGGCACAGAAAUUAAAUAGUUAGCCAACAACUUGCCUCUCACCUGACCCAACAACUAAUUCCAAUGUUAUUUGUACAAGCAUUGCUCACUUACUAUCCAGUAUCCUAGACCAAAUGUGCCAGCAUAAUGCUCUAGAACCCACAGUCCCCCCAUCCUGCUGAGAAGGACCACCCUGAAACAUGUGGGGACAAUCCCACUAAUCUUAUUUACACUGAAUUAGGGCUCAGGUAAUAGCAGAUUUCUUUAUAAACAUAGUUGAGCAUCAGAGGGAUUGACUGUAAAUUUAAAGGUGUCUUUUGAUGACAAAACAGUCCAUGCUCUGCAUUCAGACCCCUCAAUUUGGUUGCUUCCCCAUCAGCAACACCUGCUGCUUUAGUCAGCACAUUCCUGAUGGCAACAAGGGGCUUCAAAGAAAGCACCUUUGUCUGAAUGCUCCACAGUUGACCGUGACAAUUCUGGAAGGCAGAGACAUAGAGGAAGGAGAAAAGGCAGAGGACUGGGCAGUGGGGCCAACAGCACCUUUGGGGCACCCCGCAGGCUGAAGUGCUGCUGGUACAUCUGGCUCAGCCACCUUGGAGCCCCAUCCCGCCCAGCAGCCCCAAGGCAGGGGUGUUGCUUCAGGCCCCAGAGAAGCUGCCCAUCCAGGUGUGCUACAACUGCUAGGGUGGGAAGUUUUCUCUAUCACCCAAGGUAAAACGUCUGAAUGCAGACACCAAAUUUACUUCCUUGGAAAUUUCUGUAGGUGGAUUUACAAACCAGAGUGCCCUCUGCAGUCUGUGACAUUUUAAAUCAGACCCUGCCUUAGGUACCCCAUUUUAAGUUCACAAUACUCCUGUUUGUUUUUUAAAAAGGAAACAACAAACCCCAUACUAGCUUAUCUGUUGGACAGGCUGUCAGUAACCAUUUAAAAGGGAGUGUGCCACUAUAUGGGUACAGCAUCUGCUUUAAUUGGAUUCAUUGGGAUGAGACAGUAUUAAAUAUUUUAUUCUCAGAAAUUCAGAUCCAAAUCAGAACUUGCUUCCUGGAUAUUUAUGGCAUUGGAUUUUUUUAUCCUUUUCUCUUUUUUUUUUUUUUAAAUAGCAUUCUAGUAUAACACUGUGUAGCUAAAUAGUUGUAUGCUAUUCUCAGUCCAAGAACUGCAAAUGAUACAGUAUCAAUCACUGGGAAACUAUUCAACUUACACAACACAAACAUUCUUCUAAAGACUAACAAUUGUGAGGUCUGUUGACAGUGACUGAAGUGGUUAGGUACAGCUGAAAACAAGAGAAUUCAGAUGAGCUUUGAGGAUCCUCUCCAGAGGAUCUCUGCCCUCUUCUCCCCUGCAGAAGUUCCCUCUACAAUCACCAUGGCUGGUAUCCAACAGCAGCUCCAUCCAGGGGGACCAGCAGCCUCUGGCAGGUAGAAAAUGGCACUGUUUACUUGUAAUGAUUAUAAUGAUCGCUCUUGGAGUCAAAAUGCAAGUGUUUGGUUUGGUUUUAUAAUUCUCAGACUGCACCUUUGAUUUACUAACGUGGCAUAAGUUUGGUCACUUGGGAGGGAUGGAAAGUGAGAGGAGCUGAUGGGCUCUGUUCAAAUGGAAGCACAGGCUUUCUGCGAAGGUAAGCAAUUUAGCACCAUGUAGCAAACCAAGGGCUGUGCCCGAGGUCAAAUGCUGUUGAUGUUCACACAUAAUCCUCACUCUCGCAACAAGUCAUUUCAUUUGGUUGUAGGAAGGUGCCCUCUGCACUGAUAUUCUGGAAAACUGUCAGAGAUUCCAGGUGAAUAGCUUAUGAGCAGUCAAAUCUAGCAUUUAAUGCAAAAACUUUACACAGCAAGACAAGUUUAUAGAAAAAAAAAAUCAAGCCAAUCUCACCCAAGAUAAAGACUGUUUUAUAUUACUGAAGGUAGGUCACAUCCAGUAACGAUAAUAAUCCAAGAAAAGUUUUUGGUACCACACAAUCCAGCUGGCUGAGUCAAACAUAACCAUGCACGAAAACCAACACUGAAGAUUCCUGGGUACUGACAGCUCCCACCAAUGCAUUCACACUUUUGGUUACUUAACAAACGGGAUACCUGUCAUUUCAGUUAGCAGCAUACAGAGGAAUUGCUCCAAUCCCGGGCACUACAAGCAGCACCACUUCUGAGGCUCAUUCAAGUGUGGAAAAGAGAGGUUGUGAUUGGUGCCAUGUACAGUCAGCGAGAGGCAGAGGAGCGCAAAGGGAGCCUAUGCCACCAACAGAGCACAACCACCGAGUUUAUCUGUAAGAUCACCAUCUCACUUCCCUUUCAGAAAGUGCCUUGUUUAUUUAGAUUUUAAUGGUAUGGCAUAAGGACUUGUGUACUUUAUAGAUAGAUACCAAACUGGUAUUAUCAA